Phacochoerus africanus (Common warthog) is the source of this 1979-nucleotide long non-coding RNA. RefSeq lists it as uncharacterized. NCBI's taxonomy places the organism in Eukaryota, Metazoa, Chordata, Mammalia, Artiodactyla, Suidae. The record is from RefSeq and is a predicted model, not a curated record. The transcript has 3 exons.
GGGUAAGGUCAGAACCACUUGACCCUCCAGGCUGAGCAUUAGGUGCUGGGAUUUUUGCAGAGCUGAGAUGCUGCUUCUAGACGCAGUGUGAGUGGGGGCUUACCCAGUAGAACAGCAGAUGGUGAAAGGAGGAGCAGGCAGUGGAGCACAGAGAUGGCAGAGUGCAUGUUUACAUGGCCUUUAAAGACAUCUUUGUUCUGCCAAAUCUCACGAGCUAGAGCUCUGGUUACGCAAUAACAGCAUGGAGGAGUAUGUCCGGUACCCAGGGAUGCUUGUUGAUCUCCUUCAACCAGUGUUACCUGUAAACACACAAGUACUGAGGCCCUGGCUGGAUAAAGCAUGGCGACCAAGAGCUCAGACUACUCAGAAAUAAAGGAUAAUCACACCGCCAGGAACCUGCAGUGUCAUACAGUUUCAAGAAGAUAAAUAUUAGUCAAGAUGGCCCAUGGUAUUAAGAGAGAAGUGAAGUCAAGUGGAUUAAACAUUUUAGAAACAGCCUUACUUUGAGGAAUUAAGAUAGAUUCCGGUUGCCAGUGAAAAUGAUAGUGGAAGGAAAACGUCAACUGCUGGUUAGCCUGGUUACGCUGUGCUCUGAAAUGUCUUUUGUUAACGUGAUCUCUCUAUUGAGAACUCCAUUACCCUGUGUUUAAAACAAAGGCGCCCCAUUCAAAGCAGGCUAUAAUUGUAGUCUUUCAGCAAAACAGCAUUUACGAAAAUAUGCCUUUCAGAACUUGGUACAAUUUAUCACCCCCAUGGUGCAUGACACACAAUUACAUUUGUCACUGCUUUUAUUGGAUAUUACAUGUCAGUAAUGAGUCAUCAGCUCCAGAAGUUAUGAAAGAUGGAAUUUUUUACUACUAGAUUUCUGAGUUUGCUCCAAAAAUAAAACUAAAACUCGUGUAUGCCUCAGUAAGGGUAGAAGCUACAUUCGGGAGAAACAUUAAUCCCUGUUUUAGAAAAAUAACGAUGUAUUCCAUUUAUUGACAGCAAGAUGAUUGCCUACAGUGUUUCUCGUUACCUCUAGAUCACAAAUGAGUAAAUCACUAUCAGACAAACCAAGGUUAAAACUGAGUGUGUUUUAACAUUGUAACAAGGUGCAGCAAUAAAUAAAUAAAUAAAAUCAACAACAACAACAACAAAAACUCUAUCACCAAGAGAGGACUGUUAAUUCAGAGAUUUUUUUUCCCCUUAGAUUCUGUGAUGUGAUAAGCACGGCAGCUCAGUCAUCGCUGAAAUUAAAUUAGGUUUUAGAAAAUGAAUAUUUCAUUUUUAAGAUCCUGUUGCUUGGAGACCUGGGAAGAAAAGGCUAGUUUAGCCCAAGAUGGGAGAGAUGUUAUGAGGGCCAGCAUUUUCUGCUCCUGGAAACGGCUGGAGAACGCUGAGGAAAAAUUACAUAAGGGAGGCAAAACAAUGAUGAUCGUACAAAUGGGCUCGUUAUAAAUAUGCCACAAUGCAUGUCAUUUCUUCCAAGCUAAAGAAGUCUCUCUCCACCCUUCACCUGUAGUAAUAAGAUUGAAAUUGGGCACAGUAUCAUGAUGCCAUAAACACAAUCUACCUUUUGUUUUAACAGACACAUUUUUUAAAAAGACAAAACAAAUGUAGACUCGGUGGCAAAACAAAGCAUGCUUUUCUUUGCAAGGAGGCUCAACAAGUAAUAGAGAUACAGAAACUCAUAUCUAUUAUGUUGGACAGAGCUGCACUCACCUGGCUGCAUUUUAAUAAGCCUCAUAAAAAUUGAAUAUGCUUUGCUUUCAUUGCCAUUGAAGCUAGAGCAGUUUUAAGAGAGCUUCCAUUUGGGGGACAUGGUAGAAUGCUAAUUGUUUCCUGAAAGGAAAGCUCAGAAUCUCUUGAGCUUUACCUGGGUACAUGGAUACCCAUGUAAAGAUUACUUUUCCCAGCCUCCCUGGUAGGUAGGUGUGACCAUGUGAAUAUGUUUUGAUCAGUGAGAUGCAGGCAGAAGCCAUGUAUGCAAAUUGCAG